Molecule: long non-coding RNA, 3055 nt
Organism: Oncorhynchus tshawytscha (Chinook salmon)
Lineage: Eukaryota; Metazoa; Chordata; Actinopteri; Salmoniformes; Salmonidae
Source: Ensembl
UGCUGAUCUAGGAUCAGUUUAGCCUUUUAUAUCAUAGUCACUAUUCUAUCCUACGUAUUCUAGAUAUACUAAAUAUUCUAUCCACAUACUGUCCUUAAUGUCUUUACAGCUAGAUAUUACUGAACUGCUGGGAGCUAGGAACACACGCAUUUACCUACACCUGCAAUAACAUCUACUAAAUAUGUGUAUGCGACCAAUAAAAUAUCAUUUGAUGUUGAAUCAGAUUAUUAUGGACAGGGAGGCCCUGAUCCUAGAUCAGCAGUCCUACUAAAGCUUUAUGAAUACAGGCCCAGGUCUGACUCAAAACAAGACAUUUGGUAUUCCUUCUGUGUUUAGUAUUAAAACUCAGCAGUGUGCUGUAGUGUUGAACGGGAUUCUCUGCACUUUGGUGCAGCGUCACUGAUCCAGUCAAAAUGUGACCGAAACGUGUCACGGAUCUCCUCACACAGCUUGGAACUGAGCCCUGGAACAAUGACCGCACAAACAGUCAGCAAACUCAUCAUCGCCAAUUAUGUUAUGCUGCCUAGAUGACUAGACGUUUCCUAUCAGCAUAAAGGACAUUUCUCUGAAGAGCGCGACUACACACCAUCAGGGCCAGUUUCCCAGACCCAGAUAAUAUGUUCAGUCCUGGACUACAAAGCUAUUUCAAUGGAGAUUCUCCAUUGACUGUGUUGUUUAGUCCAGGACUAGGCUUAAUCUGUGUCUGGGAAACUGGCCCUUAUUACUGGUCACUGACCUCUAUUCUUUCCAAAUUAUGCUAGAGCCCAUGUCUGCAUCUCAAAUUACAAAAUUUGCCCUAUAAAGUGCACUACUUUUGAGUAGAGUCCCAUAUCCCUAUGGGCACUGGUCAACAGUAGGGCACUACAUAGAGAACAGGGUGCCAUUUGGGACUGGUCCCAUGCUUACCCACCAGAUCCUGUGUCCCCCACUCAGGCUGUGAAGUAGCACCCCUCCAAUGUCGUAAUCUAUUCUCUCCACCUCCAUCGUCUGCUGGAGUAAACUAUUACUCUCCUCGCCCCAAUGUGGGUUUAAACAGCGUAUCAUAACAACUCAGACCAUUCUGUAAAAGGUAUCCAGGGCUCUACAAUGCGAGUAUUUCACUCGCAUUUGCCCUUAAAUUGAUUUGUGCGAACCGGAAAAAUGAUUUACGAGCACAGUGUGCGAGUAAAGAUUACAAUCUACCGUAAUCUAUUAUUUUUUUCCCACAAGCGCCAACCACAGUAGGGUUUUCAGUGCUGACGCAGUCCAGUCAGAGUGAGAGAAAGGUGAACAACACUGGGGGAAAAGUAUUGGUAUAGGCUGUAAAUGAACGUGCAGACAUCGCUAAAAAUGAAGCCCAUUCAAUUGUAUUUUAAGCGAAUAAGAGACGAGGAGAAAGAGUAAUCAGGCGAGGGGGAUUCGCAAGGUUCAACUAAUGAAGCCUCUUCACAAGAUUUACGUGAGGCGGUUAGCGAAGCUACGGUGACCCCGGCUGUCACUUCAACGUCCACUGUAGCCGGCGGAGGGAGAACAUAUAGAUUCAAUGCGAAUUGGCUCAAAAUGUUCCCAUGGCUAGAGUUAGAAAACAAUGUAAUGUUCUGCAAAUAUUGUAGAAGGCUGAAACAGGCGGGCAACUCGUCCUUCGUGUCAGGAAAAAGAGAGAUAGCGCAGCGAAACAUAACAUCUGGCUGCGGCAUAUCCAGUGCAGAGAUCUGAACAUGUUGAGACAGGAGACACCAUAAAGCACGGUGUCAGCAGCCUUGAGGAGACAAGUGUUUCUGUCUGAGGAGGAGACAAACAUAACAUACUAAAUUGCGAAAGAACCUUUAGUCAAAUUUGUUCGGACAACAGACUUCGGGACACUCAACGCCAUUGGUGUUUUGGAUGCCACCAAGGCCGCAUAUCGUGCUGUUUGCCCAGAGGAAGAUGGCGGGUCAUGGAUGAAGAAGUGCGUCUCCUUCGGGGCAGAUGGUGCCACCGUGGGGGAGUGAUUGACCACCUGCAGAGGGGCAGGGGGGCAUAUAAUCCCAAUCCACUGUAUGCCACAUAUAUUUGUAACUAAUAAAUGAUCUGAUUUAGUUUUAUUUGCUAGCAGAUAAUGUUAAACAAUACUGUGUGUGUCUGUGUGUGCGCUAAGUGCUGGAAUGGUAAAUACCACAGAAUUAUUGUAUUCUGUUGACACAAGAGAUGGAGGGGAUGAAUUGUUUGGAAGAUUCAGUUCUGACUUUCACAGGCUAGAGCUGGCAAUACUGACCAUUCAGAAGAAAGAGCCAAAUGUGUCUGUAUGAUCUUCUGAAUGUGAUAUGUAUCACUUCAGAAGAUGUAUCAUUUCAGCGGAAAAUCCAAACGAUGUUGUUCUAUGUUCUCGGGCAAGAGCUCAGUGUAGAUAUUUGCACACCGUCUAGCGUCAAGGAAACUCGCUGGAUCCCCCAUGUCCACAGAGCCCUCCAAGUGUUCCUGAGGCAUGGACAAGACAAGGACCUUACCGCCGACGAAGGCCAGUACUCCGUUGUUCUGCAACACAUCAACAACAGCGGAUGUUCAAGGGCAGGCAAAAGAAGAUCGGGGUGCAACAUGGCUGCAAUCCAGGAUGAGUGGCAGGGGCUGUCAGCCACAAUUUCAAGGACAAGUCUUAGUGGCAUGUGGGAGACCAUGUUGACAAAGGACCCCUACAGGCACGAUUACAAGAACAUACUGGAGUUGGUGCAGCUUAUGCUGGUGCUGCCCAUUUCAGCCGCCCAGUGUGAGUGAGGCUUCUCUGUGCAGAACCGGAUUAAGAUUGACAAGAAGUUGCCUUGGGGUCUCUAUCACCGAAGACCUGAUGAGGAUCAGCCUGGGGGUCUUCUGUCGAGGAGUUGGAUCCCACUCCUGCCGUGGACCGCUGGCUGACCUCUAAGCGUGCCAGACGGCCAACAUACAAAAGCAGCUGGACAACUGAUAUCCUUUGCGUCUAGUAGCCAUGAGUCAAUGUAUGAUUGGUGGUAUGUGUCCCUUAUGUGUCCCUUAGUACACACACGCAGUAAAAAUAUGUAUGUAAUAAAUUGUUUGUUAAUAAACUCUGUGUUACUUGAACAUU